This 158-nucleotide ribosomal RNA is filed under the name Splanchnonema platani. RNAcentral describes it as "5.8S ribosomal RNA". It matches the Rfam family "5.8S ribosomal RNA". Rfam says of the family: 5.8S ribosomal RNA (5.8S rRNA) is a component of the large subunit of the eukaryotic ribosome. Lineage: Eukaryota; Fungi; Ascomycota; Dothideomycetes; Pleosporales. The record is from RNAcentral. RNAcentral also lists the same sequence under 16 other names.
CAACUUUCAACAAUGGAUCUCUUGGUUCUGGCAUCGAUGAAGAACGCAGCGAAAUGCGAUAAGUAGUGUGAAUUGCAGAAUUCAGUGAAUCAUCGAAUCUUUGAACGCACAUUGCGCCCCUUGGUAUUCCAUGGGGCAUGCCUGUUCGAGCGUCAUUU